CCUACGGGGGGCUGCAGUAAGGAAUAUUGGUCAAUGCCCGGAAGGGUGAACCAGCCAUGCCGCGUGAAGGAUGACUGCCCUCUGGGUUGUAAACUUCUUUUGGAUGGGACGAAAAAACGGGAUUUAUCCUGGACUGACGGUACCAUCAGAAUAAGCACCGGCUAACUCCGUGCCAGCAGCCGCGGUAAUACGGAGGGUGCAGGCGUUAUCCGGAAUCACUGGGUUGAAGGGGUGCGUAGAAGUUUUUGGUGAAAGCAUGCAGCUUAACUGUAUAAUUGCCUUUGAUACUGUAAGACUUGAAUAAGGUUGAGGUUGGCGGAAUGUGACAUGUAGCGGUGAAAUGCUUAGAUAUGUCAUAGAACACCGAUUGCGAAGGCAGCUGACUGGGCCUUUAUUGACGCUGAGGCACGAAAGCGUGGGGAGCGAACAGGAUUAGAUACCCCUGUAGUC
Molecule: ribosomal RNA, 450 nt
Filed under: uncultured bacterium
Lineage: Bacteria
Description: partial 16S ribosomal RNA
Rfam family: Bacterial small subunit ribosomal RNA
Source: RNAcentral